UGGGGAAUAUUGCACAAUGGGCGCAAGCCUGAUGCAGCAACGCCGCGUGAACGAUGAAGGUCUUCGGAUCGUAAAGUUCUGUUGCAGGGGAAGAUAAUGACGGUACCCUGUGAGGAAGCCCCGGCUAACUACGUGCCAGCAGCCGCGGUAAUACGUAGGGGGCUAGCGUUAUCCGGAUUUACUGGGCGUAAAGGGUGCGUAGGUGGUCUUUCAAGUCGGUGGUUAAAGGCUACGGCUCAACCGUAGUUAGCCUCCGAAACUGGAAGACUUGAAGGCAGGAGAAGAAAGUGGAAUUCCCAGUGUAGCGGUGGAAUGCGUAGAUAUUGGGAGGAACACCAGUAGCGAAGGCGGCUUUCUGGACUGCAACUGACACUGAGGCACGAAAGCGUGGGUAGCAAACAGG
RNAcentral lists this ribosomal RNA (403 nucleotides) under Verrucomicrobiota bacterium. Its description in RNAcentral is "Verrucomicrobia bacterium partial 16S ribosomal RNA". It matches the Rfam family "Bacterial small subunit ribosomal RNA", at positions 355 to 776 of the family's 1533-position model. The record is from RNAcentral. Lineage: Bacteria; Pseudomonadati; Verrucomicrobiota.